UUGACAACAAACCGAUGUAGUUGUCUAUUUUUGUGCUUUUUAUUUUUUUUAAAAUAGAUAUAAAAGUGAUUGUAUGUAUAUGCAAAAAUACGUAUAUACCAAAGCACGUAUACACAUAAUUGCGUUGAUACGUACGGACAGAUUUUUUAACUAUUAACAUAUGCAUACACAUGCGUGUGUUUCUUAAAAUAAAUAAAAUACAUAAUAACCAUUUUUAAAUAUGAUUGAUGGUAACAAAUCCGACAUUGUAAGUUAAAAACAGAGAAAAUGUGCAUAGCCCUACAUGAAAAGUAGAUAACAAUUUUAACAGCUUUUAGUCCUAUAUGUAAAAUAGAUAAUAGUUUUAACCUUUUUGAAUAAAGUUUAAUUUGCCAUUGAUAUGUGAUAUGUCUUUGUAUAUAUUUUUGUAUAUAUUUUUGUACAUAUUUUUGUACAUAUUUUUGUACAUACUUUUGUACAUACUUUUGUACGUACUUUUGUACAUAUUUUUGUACAUAUUUUUGUACAUAUUUUUGUACAUACUUUUGUACGUACUUUUGUACAUAUUUUUGUACAUAUUUUUGUACAUAUUUUUGUACAUAUUUUUGUACAUAUUUUUGUACAUAUUUUUGUACACAUUUUUCUGUUUUUUUUUUUUUUUUUUUUUUUUUUUCCAGAAGCUCGACCAUUCAACAGCUAGCAAUGGACUGUUCACUGUCCUAGAGCGUAAACCACUUUCUUCACUGUAAGAACGAUAAAAAAAAAAAAAAAAAAAAAAAAAAAAUGCAAAUAGUGGCAUAUUGGGGAAAAACAAACGUUCAUAUUUGUUAACGUGUACGCUGUUUUGUUUACACACACACAGCUCUUUUUCUUACUCACAUGCCAUGCUUAUUUAUACGCUUAUUUAUACGCUUAUUUAUACGUUCUUUUUUUUUUUUUUUUUUUUUUUUUUUUUUUUUUUUUUUUUUUUUUUUAGUGAAAACUCGGAUAGUUUAAAUACAAGCAACUUAAGCUGCCAACCAUGGGGUUCAUUAGAUAACUCGCUGAAAGAAAAAAAAAGAGAAGGAGGAAACAUUACACUAAAGGACAGUAGUAUUUAUGAAACGUAUAGACUAAACACUUCUCAAUUGUUAAAUGAGAAUAUUGACAGUACAAUUAAUAGGUUUAGUUAUGUUGAUGAUGAUGUGUCAUCAUUUUAUGAUUCAGAAAAAGAAGAAGAACUGUAUUUUGAUAAUGAUAUUUCAACUCUUGGUUCAUGCCAUUCUUGUCCUAGUCCCAGAAAAAGUGUUAAAAUAAAAAAAGAUCGAUUUAGUAUGUCAUUAAAAAAUAAUUUUUAUGAUGCUAAUGAUGAUAUGGAUAAAGAUAUUUUACCUUAUUCAAAAAAUAAAACUAAUUUAUCGUUUAGUAAAAAAGGAUUAAAAAGUAAAAGGUAUAACAAUGGUGAUGAUAAUUAUGUGGGAAAUAGUGAUUACAACCAAGAAGAUGUUAAAAAAAUAUAUACAUCAGAGUAUAAUAAUAUGAUAGGUAAAAACAACAACUUGGAUUAUUCCAAUAGUUCAUCAGAAAAUAAUGGAAAAUGUGUUACUGCUAGUUUAACACAAGAUGAUUUUUUUUUCGAAAGUAAAAGUAGUGAAAUACUAUCAAGUGAUGGAGUUAUGGAUUAUAACAAAAAUGAAUUAAACGAAAAAGCAAUUAAGUUAAAAAAUAACAUUUAUAGAUUUGUUAAUAUGGAUAAAUAUGAUAAUAAUAAUAAUAAUAAUAAAAAAAAUAUUAUAAAAAGAGUAACACAAGUAAAAAAAAGCAUGAUUAAUGAAAAAAAAUAUGGAAUAGAUAGUCAGGAAGGAAAAAAAAUAAAAAAAAUUCAAUCGAAUGAAUUAAAUGACAGUAACUGUAGUAAUGAAUAUUUAAACAUAGCUUUAGGGGGAAAUAAAAAUAUGAACAAUAUUAACAUCAACAAUAAUAAUACAAAUGUACUAAACGAAUCAGACACAGAAGUAGAAAGAUUCAACAUCUUAAACAAUUUAAACGAUUCGAAUGUUAAUGAAAAGCAUGAUAUAAAAAAUUAUAAAAAUGGUACCAGAUUUAGUGAAGGACAUGUACUCAAAAAAUAUAACUCACUAUCUAGAUAUAAAAGCGAUAACAAAAUAAAGUAUAAGCACGCGAAUAAUUAUAAGGACUUACAAGAGGAUACUACUUAUUAUGAUAAAAAUAUUUAUGAUACAGGUAGUGAUGACUACUAUAACGAGCGAUAUGGUAAGAACGGGCCAUAUAGCAAUGACGAAAAAUAUCACCAACGUUAUGACAUCCAUUAUGAUGACCAAUAUGACAACCAAUAUGACAACCAAUAUGACAACCAAUAUGACAACCAAUAUGACAACCAAUAUAACAACCAAUAUAACAACCAAUAUGACAACCAAUAUAACAACCAAUAUGACAACCAAUACGACAACCAAUAUGACAACCAAUAUGACAACCAAUAUGACAAACAAUAUGACAAACAAAAAGGUAAAGAAAACGAGUUUAACAAAUAUCUUAUCAACACCUAUUACAAAAAUGAUAGUAAUAAAUCAAACGAUUUUAAAAAUACAACAAAUCUAAGAAAAAAAACAGUCGAGUUAAAAAAUAAUGAAAAAGAAAAAUAUAAUUUAAAAGAUGAUUAUAAUAACAUACAUGAAGGUAAUAAUAUACCAUAUGAAAAUUUUGAUAAAAAUCAGAAUCAUGAAUUAUAUGGUGUAAAUAUGCAAGACCAUGGAGAUUCUUAUCGUGACGACUAUCAGUAUAGAAGAAGUGGUCGUUUAAACUCACAUAACCCUGUUGAUACAAAUGUGCAUACAAAUAAAUAUCUAGAUGAAUAUACAUAUGAUGAAGGCAUAAAUGAUUAUACAUUAUAUCCAAAUAAAAACAAAAUGGAUUAUUAUGAUAAUACAGUACAUAAUCCUGAUAAUGUGCGCGAUACUCCAUAUGACCAAGCAGAAUACAAUUAUAAUGAUGGUGAAAAAGGUAUGAUAUAUAAGCAUAACAGUAAUAAUAUUAACAGCAAUGCACUUUAUUUUCGAAAUAAAAACGAAAAUGAUAGUAACUACCCUUCAGGUAUAACAAGAAAAAGUGAAAAACUAAAUGAACAUAUGUACAUGCACGGUACAGGUAAAAUAAGAUCAAACAUGAGAAGAACGUCAAGUGGUAAUCAAGCCGAUUAUUAUAAAAAAAAUUAUGAACAUAUGGAUUCUAUUGAUAAUAUAAAUAAUAAUUAUGACCCUAUGAGUUAUACAUAUAAUAAAAACAUGAAUACUCGUGUUAACGAUAUAAAUACUUAUGAUAAUGAUGUUUAUUAUGACAGUGGAUACGAUGUGAAUACUCAGCAUGGUAAUAAGAACAAAAUACAUGGGACUAGUACAAACAUAAAUAAGCAAUACAGUUUAAACAAGUCAUACGUUAAUACAGAAAGAGGACUUGAACAUAUAGAAGCAAAUGACAGAACCUAUAGAGAUAGCUACAAAAAUAAUAAUAUCAGUAGCAAUAAUAAUGCAUAUUAUGCGUAUGGUGAUAAACAACAAGGGUAUAAUAACGUGCUUGAAGAAAAAAGAGAAGAGAUUAAAAAUACGACAGAUGUGGUUAAUGCAAUCCAUGUAAUCAAUACACAACAAAAAAAUGAUAUAUACAAAGAUAAUGUCAUAAAUAAUAAUAUUAAAACAGGUGACACUACUGCUACUGCUGCUGCUACUGCUGCUACUGCUGCUACUGCUACUGCUGCUAAUGCUACUGCUACUACUACUACGGCUACUGCUACUACUGCUACGGCUACUACUACUACUACAUUUGUACCUGGAACGAACGAAUUGAACUCAAUAAAUGGUGUGACUAAAGUUGAUAUGGGCCAAUCACAGAUACCGACUGCUCCAGUGUCGUCUGUCCCAGUGUCGUCUGUCCCAUUGUCGUCUGUCCCAUUGUCGUCUGUCCCAUUGUCGUCUGUCCCAUUGUCGUCUGUCCCAAUGUCGUCUGUCCCAUUGUCGUCUGUCCCAUUGUCGUCUGUCCCAAUGUCAACUGUCCCAGUGUCAACUGUCCCAGUGCCAGAAACAUCGACAGGAACUGUAACAGAAACAGUAGCAGCACCUGUGAAAAGAAAACGAGGAAGACCUAAAUUAAAAAAAACACCUACCGAAGAACAACAACAAAAAGAAAACCAAGCAGCAAAUAUCGCCGUACAACCUAAUAGUACAUCUACACAACCAAUCAAUUUGAACAAUAUAAAUGGUAACAUAGUAAAGGAUAUGAAUCAACCUUUGUAUAAUAACAUAAAUACAUUAACAAAUAAUGCUUAUAAUAAUACGUUGGGGCAAAAUAUGAAUGCACCUAUGAAUAUACCAGUCGAACAAAUGUCAGUACAACAUUUUCCAGUACAACCUCCAGGACAACUAACAAAUCAACAACAUCAACUUUUAAAUUACCAACAAACUGGAAAUCACCCACCUCUACCAAACCAGACUAUAACAGAUACACUCAUUCAACAACUUAAUCAGCCACUGGUUCAACAUCUUGGACCUCCAUUAGACCAACACAUAAAUCAACAUAUGGUAGGUCAUCACCCAAUAAACCAACACAUGGUUAGUCAUCAUCCUGUCAACCAACAAAUGGGUAUACCCAUAAACCAACAAAUUAGUCACCAAAUUAAUAGAAACAUAAAUCAACCCUUCAAUCAGCAUAUAUUUAAUAACAAUAAUAAUAAUAAUAAUAAUAACAAUAAUAAUACUUUGAAUACACAAACUAGUCAAAGAAACCAACAAAUGUAUAUGGCACCUAAUAGAAUGUCGACACACUUUAAUGGACAUAUAAACGAUGAACAUUUUGGUAAUAUGUAUAAUAAUAAAGGUGAUACGAAUAUACAACAAAAUAAUGUAGAUGAUUAUCAUAAUAAUAUAGACCAACUGAAUGUAAUUAAAGAAUUCGGUUAUAUAGAUGAAAAUGAACAACACUUAAGACAUAAUAAAAGACCAACACAUUCGACUGUUAGUGAAUCCAGUGAUAAACAUUCUGAUAGGGAUCGUGGCCGAAUGGGAGCAGGUACAGGUACAAGUACAGGAGUUGAUAUGCCAAAAGUGCAUAAGAAAAGAGGAAGAAAAAGAAAAAACGAAAUAGUAGAACCAGCAGUGGAUAAUAAAAAAGGAUCAGCACCUGUUACUAAUACUAAUGCAACUACUGGUGGUAGUGCUAAUAGCAAUAACGAAAACAAGCACGGGAUGGUUGGGACACAGCAAAAAAAAAAUAGUGUGGGUGGGGAAGAAGGUUCUAAAAACGAAGAAAAAAAAGAUGCUGUAUUUUCUACAUUUGUGGACGAAAACAAUAAAAUCGUUUCUUAUCGUACGUGCAAAA
RNAcentral lists this long non-coding RNA (5346 nucleotides) under Piliocolobus tephrosceles (Ugandan red Colobus). RNAcentral describes it as "lncRNA (ENSPTEG00000004698.1)". The record is from RNAcentral. Lineage: Eukaryota; Metazoa; Chordata; Mammalia; Primates; Cercopithecidae.